CUUUUGACCCUUCCUACAUAUAUUACAUGUCAAAAUAAUUAAUAUUUGAAGAGUCCGGCUACUAUACUAUUAUGAGUAUAGAUCUCUUUAUAUUUAUAAGUUUCUAACCGUUAGAUCUACCUUUUUAAUUUUCAUCUGUUAGAGGCAUAUUAUUCAAACAAUCAUCCACUCAACCCUUGAGGACUAGUAUCAUUUUAACCAUAGACCACUAUCAUCCUAAUCGUAUAUCUUUUUAUCCAACGGCCGAAAAUUAUGAAUACAAAGAGGUCUAUAUUCACAAGAGUACAGUAGCCCUAGUCAAUAUUAUAGUAUCCCUGGUGUUCAGCUUUCUGAGACUUGUCGACACGCCGUGAGGGUGUCGGGACAAGUCCGAGUCUCGUUGGCGUGAAAUAGACGCAAAAC
Molecule: long non-coding RNA, 402 nt
Filed under: Ananas comosus (pineapple)
Lineage: Eukaryota; Viridiplantae; Streptophyta; Magnoliopsida; Poales; Bromeliaceae
Description: long non-coding RNA (ACOM_LNC043792)
Source: RNAcentral